GGCACAGCUCUGCAAAAAUAGCAAGGAAAUGAUAGUAAAUAUAAGUUAACAUUUGUUGAAUGCUUACCCUGGGCUAGGUGCUACACUAAGUAUUUUACUUACUUAUACAUUUCCUUUUUGCACUAAUCUUAUGAAUUAGUAUAUCAGGAAUCUGAGACAUAGAGGUUACAAAAUCUCAUAUAACACAGAUAUUAGCAGAGUCUGAAAUGAACCUUAGUUCAUUAGUCAGUCUCCAGAGCCCUUCUUUCUCAGCCCCUAUACAGGAUUGCCUAAAUACCAAUUUGGAUAAAUCUGUCAUAGAGGUUCAGUCAUACCAAGUUGAAUCAUGAUUGUAUGAACUUGCACAAGUUUUCCAUGUUUCCAUGUCUUCAUCUGCUUCAGUAUAAUAAGAAUGAAAUAUAUUUAUUAAACAUAUAGGAUGGAUGUCUCACAUACACAAGCACUGUGUAACUAUCUGAGUAACUAUCUUUCUCAUCAGUCCAAUUCUAAAUCUUCAGUUAUGUUCUUAAUGUGGCAUCUAUUUAUAUGGUUCUUAACCUGUGACACUAAUAUGAAAGUGUUUAGAUGUUUAUCACCAACAUAAUAGUCUGCUAGAAGUUUAAAAAAUGAAGAUAGUCUGACCUUUAGGAACAUAACUUGGUUAUGUUAGGUUAGCUAUGUGAAC
This 664-nucleotide long non-coding RNA is filed under the name Marmota monax (woodchuck). The record is from RNAcentral. Lineage: Eukaryota; Metazoa; Chordata; Mammalia; Rodentia; Sciuridae.